Triticum urartu is the source of this 2068-nucleotide long non-coding RNA. RefSeq lists it as uncharacterized. NCBI's taxonomy places the organism in Eukaryota, Viridiplantae, Streptophyta, Magnoliopsida, Poales, Poaceae. The record is from RefSeq and is a predicted model, not a curated record.
UCCCUACCACUACCGUCCCAGAGGAGGCACACACGCCGGCGUACGGAGCCAUCACCAACCGCUCCUCCGCUCCUCUUGCUCACCAACGCCCACGCGAUGCCGCCUGGAUCGGAGGAAUCGAAGGUCACUGCUCCGCCAUGUUCCGUUUCGGAGCCGAAACAACAAGCAUCCGUGGCUGCUCCGCAACCAGAGGCCAAAGGUGCCACAUGAAUGGCAGGGGAGCUGAAGGCCGCCGGCGCCGGCUGCCCCGGUGUGAGAGGAAACAGGCGGGUUCUCGGGGAAACCCUCAACGUCGUCGAUGGCCUAUGUCCUCAGCGAGGAAGGAAAUCAGCACAAUGAUCAAAUACACGAUCUGUUCCAGACCACCCGGUGCGCUCCCUUCACAAGGAUCGAACCUCGCGGCGGUGAGCGAUGGCAGCAGCUCUACCGUCCUGGUCCGCUCCUCUCAUCGUCCCAUGCGGCUUCGAGGUCACUACGUUCGGCCGUCGGUCCCCCGCGAACAACAUCAUCCACGUUCUCACCGACACACGGGGUUCAACAUGGCGCUCGAGACCUCCAGCAUCGUGGAUGACUUCCAGGCCGAUGAGCGCGGCACCGGCAUCACCAUCUUCGUCCCCAUUGACGACGCCCUCGCCAGCCUCCCUCCCGGUGCUGCGAUUCCACGUGCUGCACUCCUACUACCGGCUUGGCUCCCUCGAGUCCAUCAAGAACCCCGUCCAGCCCACGUCCUCACCGAAGUGCACCGUGGCCGGCUGCUUCGUCCCUCCAGUUCUAGGUGGAGCAAACAUAAAUGUCAGGGUCGAUGUCGACGGAGCCGUUGAAUCGUGUGAUGUUGAUCCUGAAGCAGCCGGGCUUCGCAAUUGUGAUGCUGGACGCUGCAAAGGUGAGAACGUCAUAGCCGGAGUUCGAGUUUGAGACGCAGAGGAGAGGACGCCAUAGCCAAAGUUGAAGACGCAAAGCAGAGGAUGAGAUGAUUCGGAGGAGCCAGGGUUAAGCACGCCGACAAUGAUCCAAGCAUCUUUGCUAUUUACCAUUUCCAGGUUGAUUGGUAAUGCAUGCCAAUUACUAUUUGCAGGUUAGGUACUUUCACUAAUUGGAAUAGAAAUGGUGACAGCUGGUGAGCAGGACCGACAAUGGAUUGAUUAGUGUCACCAUCCUUUGGUUCUGAAGCAAUUCUUGAGGCGUCUCCGACCAGAACAAUAUGGUGCCUACCAAGUAUUGUCUACCGAGAUGCCAUGUUACUAGACAAAUAUAACACUAGGAUUAUCUCCAGUCAUGGGUUGCAGCUUCUACCAUGACCCACUGAACAAAAAUUAGCCAUGUUACUAGGCAAGUAUAAACACUGGGAUUAUCUCCAGUCAUGUGUUGCAGCUUCUACCAUGUUCCAGUGAACCAAAAUGAGCACAAUCAUUAAUUGAUGAUACUUUCAUAGAUCAAUAAUUUAUGUCCUUGAUUCUGCACUGAUUUAGUCAUAUUCUUUUUUUCUAAUAGCAAUCCCAACUUUUUAGCUGAGCCCCACUACAUUUUUAUCCUGAAUCUCCAUCAUCGAUUACUUCUUCAAAGAUUUAUUGCAUUUAUGGGGAAAAACACUACAUUUUAAUUCUAUUAACCAUAGAUUAAUCCACUUCAAUUAGUAACAACAUCCCAAGCUGAAACUGUUGCGAUUUGGUCUGGGACCAGAGUCCCAUUUUUUAUCCACAAUGGAUUCAUUGAUUAUUACUUCUAUUCCACAGUUUCAGUUCAUAUGUGAGGACUGCCCUACGCUCAAGCAACGAGUUACGACAUGGAUGGAGUGUAGGAUGAAGUUUAGGUAAUUAUUUGGCAAUGCAAAAUGAGUACGUUUGUCAUGUUGAUAUGGCUUCCAUUUCCCACAUUGUUGUCUUUGACAACAUAUUUAGGCGUUGCAUGAAUAUAUAAGUGAUGGUUAGAGUAAUUGUGUGGAGAAAUAGAGUUGCAUUGAUUUUUCUGUGUCCAAACCCUCUUAUAACAUUUGGUGAUAUUUUAGGAUGCUGGGUAAAAUGUAACACCCCGGAUGUAACUUACCCAAUUUGUAUUCCAACUCUUGCCG